UGUACAGUGAAACAAAGACGAUGAAGCUGUUCAGAGCAGUUUUUUACCAAAGGGAUACAGCCUGUGUGUCUGUUCUGAAGAACAAAUGCCUGCAGUAUAAAGAUAAACUCCAUUUUCACAGAUCUUUUGGUUUAUGCAAACUCUUCACUUGGGUCCUCUGACUGCAAGUACCAGUAUGGAAACUGCAGAAAAACUCGUCCUGUCUGCCGCAACCAAGAUGCAGGAGUUCUGGCGCCUGUGCUUAGUGUCUGACUGGUUAAGUGCCUCCCAAGACUCAAAGGUCAACAUCCAUGAGGUUCUAGAAGACACACUGUCUCAUAUCACAGCUGAGACUGUGAGAGCUGUGACUGACUGUUUGCUGAGCAUCUGCAGAGAGGAAACAUCAGAGGAUCUCCAGGAGUUCAGUUCAGAUGCACCUC
Molecule: long non-coding RNA, 419 nt
Organism: Colossoma macropomum (tambaqui)
Lineage: Eukaryota; Metazoa; Chordata; Actinopteri; Characiformes; Serrasalmidae
Exons: 3
Source: RefSeq, a predicted model, not a curated record